This 355-nucleotide ribosomal RNA is filed under the name Staphylococcus hominis. RNAcentral's name for it is "partial 23S ribosomal RNA". It matches the Rfam family "Bacterial large subunit ribosomal RNA", at positions 2222 to 2576 of the family's 2925-position model. Lineage: Bacteria; Bacillati; Bacillota; Bacilli; Caryophanales; Staphylococcaceae. The record is from RNAcentral.
CUAACCCGCACCACUUAUCGUGGUGGGAGACAGUGUCAGGCGGGCAGUUUGACUGGGGCGGUCGCCUCCUAAAAGGUAACGGAGGCGCUCAAAGGUUCCCUCAGAAUGGUUGGAAAUCAUUCAUAGAGUGUAAAGGCAUAAGGGAGUUUGACUGCGAGACCUACAAGUCGAGCAGGGUCGAAAGACGGACUUAGUGAUCCGGUGGUUCUGCAUGGAAGGGCCAUCGCUCAACGGAUAAAAGCUACCCCGGGGAUAACAGGCUUAUCUCCCCCAAGAGUUCACAUCGACGGGGAGGUUUGGCACCUCGAUGUCGGCUCAUCGCAUCCUGGGGCUGUAGUCGGUCCCAAGGGUUGGG